RNAcentral lists this ribosomal RNA (396 nucleotides) under uncultured bacterium. RNAcentral's name for it is "partial 16S ribosomal RNA". It matches the Rfam family "Bacterial small subunit ribosomal RNA", at positions 523 to 918 of the family's 1533-position model. The record is from RNAcentral.
AUACGUAGGUGGCAAGCGUUGUCCGGAAUUAUUGGGCGUAAAGCGCAUGUAGGCGGUUUGGUAAGUCGGUCGUGAAAAUGCGGUGCUUAACGCCGUAUGGCGAUUGAAACUGCUGAACUUGAGUGCAGGAGAGGAAAGGGGAACUCCCAGUGUAGCGGUGAAAUGCGUAGAUAUUGGGAAGAACACCGGUGGCGAAGGCGCCUUUCUGGACUGUGUCUGACGCUCAGAUGCGAAAGCCAGGGUAGCGAACGGGAUUAGAUACCCCGGUAGUCCUGGCCGUAAACGAUGGGUACUAGGUGUGGGAGGUAUCGACUCCUUCCGUGCCGGAGUUAACGCAAUAAGUACCCCGCCUGGGGAGUACGGCCGCAAGGCUUAAACUCAAAUGAAUUGACGGGA